UACGUAGGGUACAAGCGUUGUCCGGAAUUAUUGGGCGUAAAGAGCUCGUAGGCGGUCUGUCGCGUCGGAUGUGAAAACCCAGGGCUCAACCCUGGGCCUGCAUUCGAUACGGGCAGACUAGAGUUCGGUAGGGGAGACUGGAAUUCCUGGUGUAGCGGUGAAAUGCGCAGAUAUCGGGAGGAACACCGGUGGCGAAGGCGGUUCUCUGGGCCUUACCUGACGCUGAGGAGCGAAAGCGUGGGGAGCGAACAGG
RNAcentral lists this ribosomal RNA (253 nucleotides) under uncultured bacterium. RNAcentral describes it as "partial 16S ribosomal RNA". It matches the Rfam family "Bacterial small subunit ribosomal RNA", at positions 524 to 776 of the family's 1533-position model. The record is from RNAcentral.